GAUGAAGUGGCUGAAGGAAAUAGGCGAUAAAUUGUAAAUUUAUUCAUGGUUAUGGACCCUUCAUUA
Molecule: transfer RNA, 66 nt
Filed under: Ectomocoris horridus
Lineage: Eukaryota; Metazoa; Arthropoda; Insecta; Hemiptera; Reduviidae
Description: tRNA-Tyr
Source: RNAcentral